Molecule: ribosomal RNA, 406 nt
Filed under: uncultured bacterium
Lineage: Bacteria
Description: partial 16S ribosomal RNA
Rfam family: Bacterial small subunit ribosomal RNA
Source: RNAcentral
AUUGAACGCUGGCGGCAGGCCUAACACAUGCAAGUCGAACGAGUGGCGGACGGGUGAGUAAUGUCUGGGGAACUGCCCGAUAGAGGGGGAUAACUACUGGAAACGGUGGCUAAUACCGCAUACCAUCGGAUGUACCCAUAUGGGAUUAGCUAGUUGGUGGGGUAACGGCUCACCUAGGCGACGAUCUCUAGCUGGUCUGAGAGGAUGACCAGCCACACUGGAACUGAGACACGGCCCAGACUCCUACGGGAGGCAGCAGUGGGGAAUAUUGCACAAUGGGCGCAAGCCUGAUGCAGCCAUGCCGCGUGUAUGAAGAAGGCCUUAGGGUUGUAAAGUACUUUCAGCGGGGAGGCGUUACCCGCAGAAGAAGCACCGGCUAACUCCGUGCCAGCAGCCGCGGUAAUUC